Molecule: ribosomal RNA, 293 nt
Filed under: uncultured bacterium
Lineage: Bacteria
Description: partial 16S ribosomal RNA
Rfam family: Bacterial small subunit ribosomal RNA
Source: RNAcentral
GGAUUAGAUACCCUGGUAGUCCACGCCGUAAACGAUGUCUACUAGCCGUUGGGAGACUUGAUUUCUUAGUGGCGCAGCUAACGCACUAAGUAGACCGCCUGGGGAGUACGGCCGCAAGGUUAAAACUCAAAUGAAUUGACGGGGGCCCGCACAAGCGGUGGAGCAUGUGGUUUAAUUCGAUGCAACGCGAAGAACCUUACCAGGCCUUGACAUCCUGCGAAUUUGGAAGAGAUUCCUUAGUGCCUUCGGGAACGCAGUGACAGGUGCUGCAUGGCUGUCGUCAGCUCGUGUUG